Molecule: non-coding RNA, 3217 nt
Organism: Paramuricea clavata
Lineage: Eukaryota; Metazoa; Cnidaria; Anthozoa; Malacalcyonacea; Plexauridae
Source: the annotation of a GenBank genome assembly
AGGACUGAUAAUAUCGGAUAACGUACCAGUAUCAAAAUUCGACAAGUAAUGAACGGGAGCAAAAUACAAGGAUUGAUGAUCAAAUUUGAGUUGUUCUAUCUACACGAUGGAUUAGAAGAUCGAAAUUGGGAAAUGUUAGUUAAAUGUCUUAAAUAUUCACCAGACGCUAUUUUUUUAUGAAUGCUUUUAAAUUGCGCGUGAUUUAACUGGGACAUGCCCAUACUUAUCUCAGUGCGCAAAAUGUAUAGCAAGCGCCAGGCUACAUUUUCAGUCAGAGUCAUGUUACUUCCAGAAGUCGAAUCUUCAGUCGAGGGGGUUUAUCAACUGCGAAUUUAAGUGAAAAAAAAAUUGUCCGCAUAAUAGUUGGAAAGUCGGACGAUGGAAACCAAAGCUGAAAAAUUGGACAGAAACAAUGCAGUAUAAUUAUGCUUCCCAUGAAAGCACUCGGUAAAUUGAUUUUCUCCUAAGCACCUGCAGAAUUAAUGGGAAAUGACAAGAGGUUUGUUUCAAAUUCUUUUAUUGGUUUAUUUUUCAAUGGCAUAAAAAUAAUACAGUCUAAUUCAUAUGUGACGGUGAACGGUCUGCGCCAGUUCAUGUAAGCAAAGAAACAAAUUUAGCUCUCUUAGGUUGAACUCAUAAACUCUCUUAUAGGUUAUUGAUAAUAGCAACAGCUUCGUGAUUAGCUAAUGACAUAAUUAUUUUUGACUAUUUUCAUGAUAGCGCCGAUAUAAAUAACUAAUAGCUGGAACAAUGCUUCAUGUCUGCAUGCAACUGUAAUACUGAAAAUAUUUUCGCGCAUGGCUAAUGAAGUUGGUGCGUUUGCAACAUAUAGAGUUUCCGCCAUACUUUAAAUCUAUGUCAAUCUAUUCAUGUGACAACAAAAUAAAUAUUAUUGUAAAUAUUUUUAAUUGAAGGACUAUUAACUCAAUGGAAUAAAUGUCCUGUAUGCCUAUGUCCGAUGAUUCAUGUGUAAAAAAUCUAAAGCCAUAUAUUACUCGAAACCCUGGAUUAUAAAUGUUUUACAUAUAAUAUACAAUAUAUACAGUAGCACUAUCUGAUAAAUGCUACAGAAAUUUCUAAGCUUUUCAAACUUCCAGUCAUUGAUGUCAGUGAUGAUUAAUUUAAGGUCAUAUAAUGAAUCAAGGUCAUAAAAAAAAACUUAGCCUGCCCAAUUAGUAUAUCGUAUAUCGAUUACAGCAUGUAAACAUGAACCUCUCGGUAACAUUAAUCUAAUGCAUUAUAUUUUCUGCAUCUACUAUCAACAUUUGUGCCACAUUUUUGGUAUUCUCAUGUAUAUAUAAUACAAAGACGGCUUGAGGACAAUGCAAUUAUAUCCGGAUAUGGCUUACUCUAAUCAAAAUCCUUUCUACAAUAACACUGUUUAAUCAAAGUCAAAAGAGUUUCUCAGAUUCUAUAACCACUUCCAGCUUUUGACAACAAUGGUGAUUAAGGUCAUAUAAUUAAUAAGGUUGUCAAAUAAAACUUAACCUGCAGGAGAAAUCCGGUGCCGAUUACUAUACAAUAUGUAAAUAUGACCAAUAUAAGCUGUGCAAUCAACAUGAAUUAACUUGGCGCAAAUUUCUGCUAGACUACAUUAUUUCCGUAUUUGCUAUGUGCAUAAAACAUAGUUUAGAGUCAACUUGGGUACUACAAAUUAUAUCCAGAUGUGUCCUUCUCAGCAUUAUAGGACUAAUCCUUUUUACGAUAACACUGCGUAUAGUAGUUUUUGUUACCAGUCGGAUACAAAUCACGUAUACUAUAUGUAGGUUAAUACGAACCAAAAAACCGCUGGACAACAUAAAUCAUAUUGACGUUGUUCUACAUUCUACUAUAGCAUUUCUGCUUCACUUCUUGGCUGGAAUAUAUAUAUAUAUAUAUAUAUAUAUAUAUAUAUAUAUAUAUAUAUAUAUAUAUAUAUAUAUAUAUAUAUAUAUAUAUAUAUAUAUAUAUAUAUAUAUAUAUAUAUAUAUAUAUCAGGAUAUAACUGUGUGCAUAAUCAAUGUUACAAUUAUUUUUCUGAGUUUCAAAAAAUUUCUAAACAUAGUCUGGUCUAAUACAUUGAUUAUUUGUAUGUAAAUAUGAACAACAAAACUAUGGGCAACAUCCAUUACCCUGGCGUGACUAAACAUAAUGUAUUCUUCAUUCGUUAUGCAAGAAUACUUUUUAGCAUUAAAAUGGUUUGAAAUAUAUGUCAUUCAAAUUUUUUGAUAAUGAAAAAUUAACCAAGAAGAUCUCAUGCAACAAAAUAAUGAAUCUAUUCAAUUUAAAGAGAUCAGAUCCCUUUUUGGAAACUGCAGUAUACAAACAUCUAGCUGUAAGUCUAACCCCAGAUUGUCCGACUGUUUCCCAGGCCUCUCAUGUUACUAACACAGCUUACUUUCACUUCUUUUAACCUGUGUGCCUGGGUAAUAUAAUAAAAUUUAUCAGGUGCUUUGCUGGAAAAUGUGCGAUUAUUUUCGUUUUAUCCUUGUCAUCAACGAAAUUAUGAAUGCAAUUUCCAACUAUAUCCGGAGGACAGGAGUGAGUAUACUCGGAAACAUAUUUUGAGCCCUUGGGAAACCUGCAAUAUCUACUCGGCUUUAUAUCUUGAUCCUUGUUCGUGCGCAAUUAUAUCAUUGAACACAAAAAUCAUAAAAGCGUUUAUUUUGUUUAAGCGUUUAUUUUGUGUAAACUUUGUUUUCCCUUAAUUGCAGUUAAUCAAUUGGCCAGAGCAAGUCGAAGAAGAGCCUGAAGAGUAUAAGUAAGGAAAUUUAUUUUAUAUUUGGCCGUGAGCAUGCAUCUAACAUGUGCUUGUUUCGCCAUGAUUCAAAUUUUCAAUGCCAAAUGGUAAUGCAUUGUACUUCCACCGUAUACCCACUAUAUUGCCUAUUCCCAAUGUAAUGAAAACUACGAGUGAAUGCUAACUAUGGGCGAUGUAAUGUUCUCUGUGUCGAUGCACAUAUGGGAUAGCACUGCAUUGUGCGAUUGAAUGUUGAACAAAUUAAACUAAAGAUUUAACUAAAUCCAAACAGCAUUCGUAAGCAAAGCUUAGAAUUGAUAAUCUAAAUGAAGUUGCAAGCACAAUUCAAUACACAAGAUAUGUCAAAUCACAAGCCAGGAAGACCUAGCUUCAUAAAAUUUUCUGAAUCCAGAAUGCACUAUCGGUUUGCCAUAAUAAUUAUUAUGAGAUAUCUUGAAGUACAGUAUUAUCUAUUCUUCUGAGUGGCUGAAGCACAAC